Amblyraja radiata (thorny skate) is the source of this 136-nucleotide long non-coding RNA. RefSeq lists it as uncharacterized. The transcript is spliced from 3 exons. The record is from RefSeq and is a predicted model, not a curated record. NCBI's taxonomy places the organism in Eukaryota, Metazoa, Chordata, Chondrichthyes, Rajiformes, Rajidae.
CUGGAUAGUGUGGAUGAGGAGAGGAUGUUUCCACUAGUGGGAGAGUGUAGGGCCCGAGGCCAUAGUCUCAGUAUAAAUAGACGUACCUUUACAAAGGUGAGGAGGAAUUUCUUUAAUGUUUAGGAAGGAACUGCAG